Molecule: ribosomal RNA, 253 nt
Filed under: uncultured bacterium
Lineage: Bacteria
Description: partial 16S ribosomal RNA
Rfam family: Bacterial small subunit ribosomal RNA
Source: RNAcentral
GACAGAGGUGCCAAGCGUUAGGCGGAAUCACUGGGCUUAAAGCGUGUGUAGGCGGAUUUGUAAGUACCUUGUGAAAUCCCACGGCUCAACCGUGGAACUGCUCGGUAUACUGCUUAUCUUGAGCCACUUAGGGGCUACCGGAACAAAUGGUGGAGCGGUGAAAUGCGUAGAUAUCAUUUGGAACGCCAAUGGUGAAAACAGGUAGCUGGGAGUGUGCUGACGCUGAGACACGAAAGCCAGGGGAGCGAAUGGG